UAAUUAAUUAAUGAAAAAUGUAUUAUUUUUUUUUAUCAGAAAAAAANAAAUUUAUUACGAGAGAGUUUGGUACCAGAGGUACCACCAGAUUACACAAGAACAAGAGGAGUUUCACAAGAAAACCAAGAUUGGGAGCUAAUCUCUUUAACAAGUAGUCCAAAAAUCUUGUUCCAACUCCACAUCCUCACUUUCACUUCUUCGAUCACGUCAUUGAUCUCCCAAUUCUUGCCCUCAAAUCUGCUCUCGUUACGUCGUUUCCACAACAACCAAAUGGUACAGACCCAUACUGUCGCUAGAAAAAGUCGACCUUCCUUUCAUUUGUCAAGAUUUGUGAACAAAUCGAAGUGUGCCUCAACCGAUUGAGGCCACACUGCUUUUAUUCCCAGCCACCUAUGAAUUCCAAUCCAAACCUUUUCAGUCUUCGGACACGACAGAAGCAGAUGGUUUGUCGUUUCUAAAUGUUGACAGCAUGCAUUACACAUAAUCUCCUCCUCUCCAAGUGGGAUAUUUCUCUUUCUCAAAUUUUCACAAGUUGGCAGCCGGUUCCUGAGGAUUCUCCACGCCGUUACUCUCGUCAUCUGUGGAGCCUGUAUGUUCCAAAUUUUUACAAGCCUUUCCCUAUUGCAAAUCUCCACCGAUGCCUCGUUCCCUAACCCUUUUAUGACUUCAUAUGCAGACUUUGUUGUAUACA
RNAcentral lists this long non-coding RNA (691 nucleotides) under Salvia miltiorrhiza (redroot sage). RNAcentral's name for it is "long non-coding RNA (SMIL_LNC009261)". The record is from RNAcentral. Lineage: Eukaryota; Viridiplantae; Streptophyta; Magnoliopsida; Lamiales; Lamiaceae.